GUCUAUGGCCAUGCCACCCUGAACAAGCCCAAUGUCUGAUCUUGGAAGCUAAGCAGGGUUGGCCCUGGUUAGUACUUGGAUGGGAGACCAUCUAGGAAGACCAGGUGCUGUAGGUA
This 116-nucleotide ribosomal RNA is filed under the name Pteropus alecto (black flying fox). The record is from RNAcentral. Lineage: Eukaryota; Metazoa; Chordata; Mammalia; Chiroptera; Pteropodidae.